Molecule: ribosomal RNA, 237 nt
Filed under: alpha proteobacterium Jbg31
Lineage: Bacteria; Pseudomonadati; Pseudomonadota; Alphaproteobacteria
Description: partial 16S ribosomal RNA
Rfam family: Bacterial small subunit ribosomal RNA
Source: RNAcentral
GGGCUUAACUCUGGAACUGCCUGUGAUACCGCAGAACUUGAGUGCGAGAGAGGAGAGUGGAAUUGCCAGUGUAGAGGUGAAAUGCGUAGAUAUUGGGAGGAACACCGGUGGCGAAGGCGGCUCUCUGGCUCACUACUGACGAUGAGGCACGAAAGCGUGGGGAGCAAACAGGAUUAGAUACCCUGGUAGUCCACGCCGUAAACUAUGAAUGCCAGCUGUUAGGGGAUUUACUUCCUG